RNAcentral lists this ribosomal RNA (368 nucleotides) under uncultured eukaryote. Its description in RNAcentral is "partial 18S ribosomal RNA". It matches the Rfam family "Eukaryotic small subunit ribosomal RNA", at positions 592 to 976 of the family's 1831-position model. The record is from RNAcentral.
CAGUAGCGUAUAUUAAAGUUGUUGCAGUUAAAAUGCUCGUAGUUGAAGUUCGGAUGCAGCAGAGCUUGGAAACGCUGUUAUGGUGCUUCCGUUGCUUUUGCUUGUCCACAGUGCGUUGCAAGUACGUAUGUGCUUGUGCGUGCAUUUUACUUUGAGAAACAUAGGGUGUUCCACGGAUGUUACGGCAUGAAUAUUCCAGCAUGGGAUAAUCUGGUACGACUUCCAAUCUGCCAUUUUGGUUCGUAGGUUGGAAGUAAUGAUUAAUAGGGACUGUCGGGGGCAUUGGUAUUUGACUGUCAGAGGUGAAAUUCUUAGAUUCGUUGAGGACCAACCACUGCGAAAGCAUUUGUCAAGGAUGUCUCCAUUAA